Molecule: ribosomal RNA, 492 nt
Filed under: uncultured bacterium
Lineage: Bacteria
Description: partial 16S ribosomal RNA
Rfam family: Bacterial small subunit ribosomal RNA
Source: RNAcentral
AGUGAACGCUGGCGGUAGGCCUAACACAUGCAAGUCGAACGGCAGCACAGUAAGAGCUUGCUCUUACGGGUGGCGAGUGGCGGACGGGUGAGGAAUACAUCGGAAUCUACUUUUUCGUGGGGGAUAACGUAGGGAAACUUACGCUAAUACCGCAUACGACCUACGGGUGAAAGCAGGGGAUCUUCGGACCUUGCGCGAUUGAAUGAGCCGAUGUCGGAUUAGCUAGUUGGCGGGGUAAAGGCCCACCAAGGCGACGAUCCGUAGCUGGUCUGAGAGGAUGAUCAGCCACACUGGAACUGAGACACGGUCCAGACUCCUACGGGAGGCAGCAGUGGGGAAUAUUGGACAAUGGGCGCAAGCCUGAUCCGGCCAUACCGCGUGGGUGAAGAAGGCCUUCGGGUUGUAAAGCCCUUUUGUUGGGAAAGAAAAGCAGCAGGUUAAUACCCCGCUGUUCUGACGGUACCCAAAGAAUAAGCACCGGCCAACUUCGUG